UAGUUAGUGUUUUUGUGUAUAUGUGUGUGUGUGUGUGUGUGUCAUGGAGGAGUGAACUGUGCCUGUCCUUGUGGGUGUAUGACGAACCAGGCUGUUGCCACGGUGACGGUGGUGGUGGGCAUGACACAGAUGCGGGAGGUGGAGUUUGUGCCCGAUAGAGACAUGCAGCUGGACAAAUUGUGUUGGUCAUUGGUCAGACUGGAGUUUACAUGUGUACCUCCUUCACCAUCAUUGGUGGACACUUCACCAUGAGUGAUGCUUGAGCUGUCACGGUGCUGCUGCUGCUGUCUGCUAUCAUCCCCCUGACACAGACCACCCUGCAGACCACCUUCAUCCUGGGUGCCACACGUCACUGCUGCUACAACUCAGAGCAACUGGAGCGCAAGCCAGGAAGGGAGAUGGUUACCUUCUUGUUGAUGUGCAAUCUUGCUACGUGGGCGACCAACAUUUAAAAAUAGCAAUGUGGUGCUUCCUUAAUGCUAAUAGUCUUGGCCCAAAAAACUUGUGAUGUCAAACACUAACUUCUCUUAAAUCUUACUAAAAUGUAUGCGCAUCACUUUCUGAUUUCAUCCCAGUGGCACACAAACCAAAAUACCUGAGUAUGGAGAUGGCUGGACUACCUCCUUUGGCCACCCCUGUUAUAUCUUAAUGGUCACCUAACAAUUGCACCUUAGUAGAAAAACACAAACAGGAAGUUUAUGCAAGUUUUUAUCCUUAUAUAAAAUAUAUUGCAUCAAACCUCCAUACAUUACUGUCUCUAUCCAGUAUGAGACCGGUGUUCAAGAAGCACAAGCAUGUGCUGAAUAACAAGAAGCCAGCGUGGCUCAAGAGGAAGAGUGAGUAGGACGAGAAAAAACAGAACAAAUAAAUCCCCUACACGUGUUGUCUCCAUUGACACAAGCCAUGAAAAGCUUGUCCAUCUCUGAGUGCUAAGGAGCAGUGUGUUCAACUGAUGAUGUGGAAACUUGAGACAGCCAAUCAUUUAAUGGACUUUAGUAGGUUUUGUCACCAGUCUUCUGUGUGUCACUCACUACAUUUUGAAAUUUUUACUUGUUCUAUUUAAU
Long non-coding RNA from Scylla paramamosain (green mud crab), 1064 nucleotides. RefSeq lists it as uncharacterized. Lineage: Eukaryota; Metazoa; Arthropoda; Malacostraca; Decapoda; Portunidae. The transcript has 4 exons. The record is from RefSeq and is a predicted model, not a curated record.